AGCAUCCUCACUCGGUCGGUUCCUCGGGCGAGUUACGGGGACGACCUGCGGGAGCACGCGGGCAGUGGCCGGACGCUGAAGCCCAGGAGAGCGAUGGAGACGCAUGCGGAGGCUGGGAAGGAAGGCAAGCCUUCCUGUGCAUCGGUGGAUCUGCAGGGAGACAGCUCCUUACAGGUGGAGAUUUCUGACGCAGUGAGUGAGCGGGACAAGGUGAAAUUCACUGUUCAAACCAAGGUGAGGCGGUGUGGGGCACGAGGAAAGGUCCUGGUGGCUGCCCGCAGGAGGCCUCCCCCAGGGUGGUAGGCAUGUGCCAACACAGCCUGUGGGCACUCUUCCUCCACCUGGCACUUGCCCUCAGCCCCUCCUGGAAAGCGAGCCUCUUAGCUCUGCCUAAGGCCCCAAGUCCUAAUCAUCCCUGUCCACCAUUCUAAAUGAAAUCAUGCACACCUGAGCUCUAACUUGGUCCUCCCUGGGAUGUGGGAUGAGGGGGCCCCAAAAGUGGGUGCCCAGGAGACUUGCUGAGGCAGGGCUUGGGGCAGAGAGAGGACCUCAGUUGGCCUUCCCACUUCCAGAGCUGCCUCCCUCACUUCGCCCAGACCGAGUUCUCAGUCGUGCGGCAGCACGAGGAGUUCAUCUGGCUGCAUGAUGCCUACGUGGAGAACGAGGAGUACGCCGGCCUCAUCGUGAGGAGGGGCCGGGCAGGGGCUGGGAGGGACAGGCAGAGCACUUGGGUGAGGACCAAAGGCUGUGAUGGCCGUCUCGGCAGUGAGAGGCCUCCCAGCUCCGUCCCUCCUUUGAGCAGAUCCCCCCAGCCCCUCCGAGGCCAGACUUUGAGGCUUCGAGGGAAAAGCUACAGAAAUUGGGCGAGGGGGACAGCUCUGUCACUCGGGAAGAGUUUGCCAAGAUGAAGCA
This 912-nucleotide small RNA is filed under the name Pongo abelii (Sumatran orangutan). RNAcentral's name for it is "retained intron". The record is from RNAcentral. Lineage: Eukaryota; Metazoa; Chordata; Mammalia; Primates; Hominidae.